RNAcentral lists this ribosomal RNA (448 nucleotides) under uncultured bacterium. Its description in RNAcentral is "bacterial SSU rRNA". It matches the Rfam family "Bacterial small subunit ribosomal RNA", at positions 11 to 507 of the family's 1533-position model. The record is from RNAcentral.
GUUUGAUCAUGGCUCAGAACGAACGCUGGCGGCAGGCCUAACACAUGCAAGUCGAGCGCACCCUUCGGGGCGAGCGGCGGACGGGUUAGUAACGCGUGGGAACGUACCCUUUUCUAUGGAAUAGCCUCGGGAAACUGAGAGUAAUACCAUAUAAGCCCUUCGGGGAAAGAUUAUCGGGAAAGGAUCGGCCCGCGUUAGAUUAGAUAGUUGGUGGGGUAAUGGCCUACCAAGUCUACGAUCUAUAGCUGGUUUUAGAGGAUGAUCAGCAACACUGGGACUGAGACACGGCCCAGACUCCUACGGGAGGCAGCAGUGGGGAAUCUUAGACAAUGGGCGCAAGCCUGAUCUAGCCAUGCCGCGUGUGUGAUGAAGGUCUUAGGAUCGUAAAGCACUUUCGCCAGGGAGUGAUAAUGACAGUACCUGGUAAAGAAACCCGGCUAACUCCGUG